This 381-nucleotide RNase P RNA is filed under the name Mucilaginibacter aquariorum. Its description in RNAcentral is "RNase P RNA component class A". It matches the Rfam family "Bacterial RNase P class A". Rfam says of the family: Ribonuclease P (RNase P) is a ubiquitous endoribonuclease, found in archaea, bacteria and eukarya as well as chloroplasts and mitochondria. Its best characterised activity is the generation of mature 5'-ends of tRNAs by cleaving the 5'-leader elements of precursor-tRNAs. The record is from RNAcentral. Lineage: Bacteria; Pseudomonadati; Bacteroidota; Sphingobacteriia; Sphingobacteriales; Sphingobacteriaceae.
AUUGCAAAACGUUCUAUCGCUGCAGGCUUGUUCUGCAGAGGAAAGUCCGGGCAACACAGAGCAUCCUGCUUCCUAACGGGAAGGCGCCCGCAGCGGGCGACAGCAAGUGCCACAGAGAAUAUACCGCCUUUAAUUUAUUAGAGGUAAGGGUGAAAACGUGAGGUAAGAGCUCACGGCUUUUCCGGGCGACUGGGAUCGCGGUAAACCUCAGGAGUUGAAAAACCAAAUAGGUUCUGAAAGCGGAGCUGCUCGCUUCCGUGUCGAUUCGUCGGCCGUCAGAAUGGGUAGGUUGAUUGAAUCUGUCAGCAAUGGCAGGGCCAGAUUAAUGAUAGAAGUUCCCCUUGGGGAGUACAAAACCCGGCUUACAGAUUUGCUGCUGUA